RNAcentral lists this long non-coding RNA (1433 nucleotides) under Calidris pugnax (ruff). RNAcentral describes it as "lncRNA (ENSCPUG00000011910.1)". The record is from RNAcentral. Lineage: Eukaryota; Metazoa; Chordata; Aves; Charadriiformes; Scolopacidae.
UAUGAAAACUGGCCAGAUCCCCUUCUCAAAACCGACAGGACUUCUCAGUGCCAGCAGAGCUUAUAUCCACGUGAGCUGCACAGAUGGACGAGUUCAGAGCACCUCCUUGAUGCCAACACGCGCAAAGGAAAAGUCACUUUUUACUUUCCCAGCAGAUGCUGCUUUCCUGGGGUGGGGGGACACCUGGCAGGUACCCACUCCUUCCUCUGGCCACAGAACGCCUCUGCCAGCAAUGAGGAGGAAGAGGAGAGAGGGGCCGGCUUCAAGGAGGAUUUGGAGGAGUUCCAGUUCUUGCAAGGCCAGUACCACGCUGAAGAAAAAAGGUACAGGUGCCAUUUUCUUCAGGCAUAAAGAAAACAUAACUGGAACGGGAGGGGGAAAGGUACAAUUAUCAGCUAGAAGAAAGGGAAAGAUACUACAAAUAACCUGUUGACAAAGAACUUCAACACUGCCACAUUUAAAUGGAUUGGCUCAGAAAAAAAGUAGGAGUUCUUACUCACAACAACAUCUCAGGAAUGUCAAGAAAGCUCUUGAGUAUCUCUGGGCACAUGCAAAGUGUGACCGAGUCCAUCAGAAACCAGCGCAAGACCAAAACCCCACUCACCACAGCUGGCUGAAAAUUCUCCACUGCAGGGAAACAUCUGAAAGCCAGCACUCUUUCCACUGUCCUGCGACAUCGACAUAAACAAAACCACUCUGCUUUUUUUCCAAAUAGCUGCUGAGAACAGGGAAAUAGCAUAGCUUUUUUAAAAAAAAAAAAACCAAAGUGUUUCCAAAAGCAGUUUUGUACAUCAUCUAAAACAAAAGGCUGUGCUUAAAUGUGUGCAGCGAUAACAUUGACACCAAUAUUUUCGUGUUCUGAUUUUGCUACAUAGAAAGCAGAAAGCUCCUGUGCAGCUGGUCGGGCAGCAAUCGAGCUGUUGCACAACUCAAUAUGCAGAUCAGGCCUGAGGAAGUUCUGCCGGGAUCCUCUUUGUACUCUGUUUUUAAAAUGUGAUUAACAUCUGUUUUCUUAGAUUAGGAAAUUGCAGAGAGGUUUUAUGUUACGCUUCUGAAUUAUUUUGAAUGCUGCACAACUGAGUCAUGUGUUCUACAUAUUUGGAAAUCCCAAGUUUUAGCAACUCCUGCUUGGCUGCCUAGAGACUGUAUAAAGCUCAUUGUCAAAGCUUUACUCUGCUGUCUGACUUGGGUGAUUUAUUGUCCUCCUGAAUCUGUUGACAGAUUCACCUGGGAUUCAAGUUUGCUAAUAGCUGUAUUUGUUUAUUUGUUAAACACACAGGUCUGAGCCAGGGCUGGUGUCUCUGCUCUUCCAGAACUGCCAAAGCACUCUGAAGCUUUUGCAUCUCACAGCUGGGCUUAUCUGGUUUCUAGUAAGGUGCAAGUUCCACCCAAAAUUUUUUCCCUACUCAGGAUGUUUAUAAUCACUCCUAGAG